CUUUGUCUUUUUCUUUUAUUUUCUUUUGAGCGAUUGUGCGAACAUAGCAUAGCACGCACUAUGCCUUCUGUGUUGUAGCUGCCUGGCCAGGGCGACUGGCGGAUAAGGUCUUGUGCGUGGCCUCGAGGCUUAAAAGUAGCAGUGGGGCUUUGUGAAGGACAAAAUGGCGAUGGCGGGCCGUGUAGGUCCCCCUUCCUAUGAUGAGGACCUUUUCACAGACCUGUACUGAGCUCCGUGAGGAUAAAUAACUCUGAGGAGAUGGGCCCUGCAAGCCUCUUGCUUAGCCGUCUGUUCAGAAAAUAGCGUUUUCGAAAUGCCCUGAGUUGACCUAAUGUCUUAUUGGGCUCCUGUCUGCAGGAUUUACGCGCACGUUGGAACCGAAGAGAGCUCUGUUGUUGCAAUGUUCAGCCCACAAGAGCUUACUGGUGAAGGAAUGGGACAAGACCCAUCUUUAUGCAAAGCCAGCGUUACAGUAAUGUUCCAGGUAGGUGUACAUGGUUUAUGCUCUUACAGAGGAGACCUUGUAGAUAACCACUCCAUGAUGAACACAAAAUGACAAGCAUAUGGCUGAACUUUCAAGUGAUGUCAUCUUACUACUGAGAAGUGAGAGAGAGGUCUUAAGGGGUCUUUGAAUGACUAUUUUUAGGUACAUAAAAUGCUUUCCUCUGUUGUCUACAGCAUCUCAUAAUCUAUCCUGGGGAAUUCAGCUGCCUCCCAGGGUGAAUACAGGUAAUUAUCCAAAUUGGUGUAUGUCAUCUUUGUAAAUGUUCAAGAAAACAAGUGGCCGGCGGAACAAUGUUUUUUGGCGCCUUCCAUCUUGUUCCUCUUGAAAUGAUUUUCUGGGGAGGGAGAUCGCAACCCGGUACUACAGUUCUUGUAAGGGUGUGCUGUUACCCUCAUCCAUAUAUCGAUCACGUUACUGUCAGAUGAUUUGAAUUGAUAAGCUGAUGUUCUGUGAGGUACAAAAGUUAAUAGCAUGUUAGAGUUCUGAUGGCAGUUGUUGUUUAUGAAUAAGCUUCAUUCCAUCCUAAUACCUUAAAAUAACUAAUUUGCUUUCCUUUCCAGGUAUUCCUGAUGACAGUCUGCCUCUAUCUUACAGUAAGUUGUUUUUCGAAUUCUAUGGGCCUAUUAUCUAAUAGAUAACUUAGCCAUUUUGAUAUUUGUUACCAAAGCCUGCUUAACCCAUAAAGUUUUCUGGUUCCUCUUGUUCUCUGUAGUGAUGUUUCUAGAUAGAUGCCCACUGAUAUAUGCCCCUUUUUUCUCAGAUAGAUGCCCACUGAUCUGCCCAGGGUCAGACGAAUGCUUGUCAGUUGUAGCUUUCCAGGAUUCUGCUCCAAUGAGGAGGAAACAUCCUGCCUUACCCCUGUUUUAGCCUGGGAACCAGUAAUUGUGAACUCACCAGGGUUAACAUGAAGAGGGCAUGAGAGCUUAUUCCAUAAGGAAUUGUCUGAGACAUUUGGUUACCUUUUCUUAGUUUGUCCAUUAGCAACCGUAACUAAAAUAGUUUUGGCUGUUUGGGAUAAUUAGCUAAUUGAAUGAUUUUUUGAUUCAGGAGCAGCUUGUUGCUAUAUACCAUUGAAAAGCCUUCAGAGCUGAGAGGUUAGUUGAUAUUUUUUGUUCCUUACAGCUUAUGCCACCAAGUAGGCAGUUUCUAUGAUGAAUCAAACUAGCUCACUAUGACCGACAGUGAAAAUACAUGAACACCUGAGAAACUGGAGAACGCAGGGAGUGGGGGGUAACCAUGUCUGAGGAAUCUUUCACCCACAGCUUUGUUUUUCUCUAGGUACUACUAACCAAUAACCUGCUUGGCUCAAAGGGCCAGCACCUUCUCUCUAAAGCCCAAGAGGAGUUUGAGGUAAAUGGCUUUGCAAUAGUUACCAUCAAUGGCUGCUAUAUAAAAUUUUCUGUGAUUUUUGUGUGUGAUAGCACUGUGGUCUGGGUGAAUGUACACAGACAUAACUGGCUUAACCCAAAGUCUUUGAUCUCCUGAACCACCAGUGAUGAAUUGCUGCUCACCAGUGAUGAGUUGAAUACCGCCCCAGUCUGAUCAAUGUGUGACUGAAAGGUAUUUUCUGAGCUGUGAGCCUGCCUUCCAGUGACAUGUUCUAAAAAUUGCAAGUUAUUUGAGGAGGCUUUACAGCCAAUAGGAAGUUCUUGGGCUAAGUAGUGUUUCCUAUAAAAUGUGCCCUGAAACUUCUUUCUGCCAAGCAAUAGAUACAAUUGAGAGAUUGUAAAAUGUGACAUAGAAUGAAAGUCUCUCAAGACUACAUUUUUCUUUCUUGAUUUUGCAGGAAAACUAGGUGUCUGUGUUCACUCCAGGCUGAAGUUACAGGUCUGAGCAAAUAAGGUGUAUAAAAAAUGGAAUCUGUCUUGGAGGACAUCAGAAGGUGAAUUUUCCAAGUUCUUGGACAACCUAGCUGUUGAAAAGCUUUCUGGGUUUGGGGGGUAUUUCAGAUGUACCUUAAAGUGUUAGCAGACACAGAUUAAGACACUGGGAGCCAAUGAAACAGCAGUUGAGGGUUUGCUGUGUAUCACAUUUCUGUAUUUUAUCACCCCCUUCCUGCAACAUUAUUUAUCUGGAAUCUACCUGCCCUUUUGUUUUUUAGAUACAAGGGCUUGGUUUUGUUACCCAGGCUGGUUUCAAGGCCAUAGCUUUAAGAGAUCCUCUCACCACAGAUUUCCAAAGUGCUGGGAUUGCAGGUGUGAUUCAUGGCACCCAGACUUUGCUGCCUUUCUUACAUGAUCCAGGCCCAGAACCCAAACUCAGGCACUGUAUAGAUGACCACUUUCGUAAACUACUGACCUAGCUUGUUGCCAAUUGUUGAUUGAACUUCCCAUAACUCCACUUCGUGUCUGUUCCUCUGUAUACAGCCACCUUCUGUUCCCGUCAUGAGCCUUUAGGUCUCCAUUUGCAUAUUGCAAAUACUAUGUUCCAUGUAGGUAGCUCAUUCAGGGCCUUGCUCUUCACUUCAAAAAAGGUUC
Long non-coding RNA from Homo sapiens (human), 2982 nucleotides. NCBI's taxonomy places the organism in Eukaryota, Metazoa, Chordata, Mammalia, Primates, Hominidae. The record is from Ensembl.